GGUGAAAAGCACCCCGGAAGGGGAGUGAAAUAGAACCUGAAACCGUGUGCUUACAAGUAGUCAGAGCCCGUUAAUGGGUGAUGGCGUGCCUUUUGUAGAAUGAACCGGCGAGUUACGAUUUGAUGCAAGGUUAAGCAGUAAAUGUGGAGCCGUAGCGAAAGCGAGUCUGAAUAGGGCGUUUAGUAUUUGGUCGUAGACCCGAAACCAGGUGAUCUACCCUUGGUCAGGUUGAAGUUCAGGUAACACUGAAUGGAGGACCGAACCGACUUACGUUGAAAAGUGAGCGGAUGAACUGAGGGUAGCGGAGAAAUUCCAAUCGAACCUGGAGAUAGCUGGUUCUCUCCGAAAUAGCUUUAGGGCUAGCCUCAAGUGAUGAUUAUUGGAGGUAGAGCACUGUUUGGACGAGGGGCCCCUCUCGGGUUACCGAAUUCAGACAAACUCCGAAUGCCAAUUAAUUUAACUUGGGAGUCAGAACAUGGGUGAUAAGGUCCGUGUUCGAAAGGGAAACAGCCCAGACCACCAGCUAAGGUCCCAAAAUAUAUGUUAAGUGGAAAAGGAUGUGGCGUUGCCCAGACAACUAGGAUGUUGGCUUAGAAGCAGCCAUCAUUUAAAGAGUGCGUAAUAGCUCACUAGUCGAGUGACACUGCGCCGAAAAUGUACCGGGGCUAAACAUAUUACCGAAGCUGUGGAUUGUCCUUUGGACAAUGGUAGGAGAGCGUUCUAAGGGCGUUGAAGCAUGAUCGUAAGGACAUGUGGAGCGCUUAGAA
Molecule: ribosomal RNA, 767 nt
Filed under: Staphylococcus aureus
Lineage: Bacteria; Bacillati; Bacillota; Bacilli; Caryophanales; Staphylococcaceae
Description: partial 23S ribosomal RNA
Rfam family: Bacterial large subunit ribosomal RNA
Source: RNAcentral